UACAGAGGUCUCAAGCGUUGUUCGGAUUCAUUGGGCGUAAAGGGUGCGUAGGUGGCGCUGUAAGUCGGGUGUGAAAUUUCGGAGCUUAACUCCGAAACUGCAUUCGAUACUGCGGUGCUUGAGGACUGGAGAGGAGACUGGAAUUUACGGUGUAGCAGUGAAAUGCGUAGAUAUCGUAAGGAAGACCAGUGGCGAAGGCGAGUCUCUGGACAGUUACUGACACUGAGGCACGAAGGCCAGGGGAGCAAACGGG
RNAcentral lists this ribosomal RNA (253 nucleotides) under uncultured bacterium. RNAcentral describes it as "partial 16S ribosomal RNA". It matches the Rfam family "Bacterial small subunit ribosomal RNA", at positions 524 to 776 of the family's 1533-position model. The record is from RNAcentral.